Long non-coding RNA from Choloepus didactylus (southern two-toed sloth), 3671 nucleotides. RefSeq lists it as uncharacterized. Lineage: Eukaryota; Metazoa; Chordata; Mammalia; Pilosa; Megalonychidae. The record is from RefSeq and is a predicted model, not a curated record. The transcript has 3 exons.
CACUUGGGGAAGAGAAUUGGGGUGUAAAGGAAAUUCAGGACUUUGUGUUAGCAAAACAGAUUACUGACGUCUCCAGUGGAAAACUAUGCAUUUUUUGUGUCCAUCCUUCCUGGUUAUCUGAUUCUUAAGAUUUAUGACUUUCACUACUUUGAGCUAUUUUAUAACUCUGCUUUUGUAGAUAACUGAUAGCAAUGUAAAUAAUUAUCUUCUAUUCACGCAAAUAAAUCCUGGCCCCUGGAGAUUUCGAGUAAAAUAAAAUGGCUGCUUCAUGGGGUGUCCCUGGGAGGGACCCCUUUCUGUAAGAGGAUUUUCCAGAUGACAGACACAAUUGACCUACAGGUGCUUUCUGAGAAAACGGAGUCGAGAGCACCCUACAGAACUGCAGUUUUGGUGUCAGACGUGGGAUCUGAAGGAGACUGUCCCCCCCUUGGUCCCCCGAGGAAGCAAACAAAAGAAACCCUCUGAGCCCUUUGUGCUCGGCUCUCUCUGGCACCUGGAGGUGGGCAGAGGGGCUGAACUGCAGAUUUGAGUUGGCAGAAGAAAGAAUCAACAAAUUUGAAAAUAGGUCAAUUGAGAUUAUCCAGUCUGAGGAAAAGAAAAAAGAAUGAAGAACAAUGAACAAAUGCUCAGAGCCCAUCAAGAGCGUCAUGGGACGUGGUCAAGCAUAGCCACAUGUCCAGCAUGGAAUCCCAGAAGGAGAGGAGAGAAGGUGGCCAAAAGAUUAUUUGAAGAUACGAUGGCUUAAGUUGUGAGAGAAUAAACUUCAGUUGUUGUGGGAUCCCUAAGAAACAAUACAUGACAAAAGAAAAAAUAGAUAAAUUGGAUUGGAAUUCAUAAAAAUUUAAAACUUAAGACAACCCAUGGGACAAGAGAAAGAAUGUUCAAACCAUGUUUCUGAUAAGGAACUUCUAUCCGGGAUAGAUAAAGAACCCAGAUGAAAAUGGGCAAAAGACCAGGUAGACAUUUCUCCAAAGAAGAUAUACAAAGGCCAAUAAGUACAUGAGGAGAUGCUAAGCAUCCUUAACUAGAAAACAGUCUGGCAGUUCCUAAAAAUGUUAAACACAGCUAUUAUAUGAUCCAACAAUUCCACUCCUAGACAGAAUUCACCGGUUUUCAGUAUAGUCGCAGAAUUGUGCAAGCAUCACUACUGUCUAAUUUUAGAACAUUCAUCACCUCCAAAAGAAACCCACCCUUUUUAGCCACCACUUCCCAAUCACACACACACCAGCCUAGGAAACCGUGCAUCUAUUUUCUGUCUUUAGUUUUUCCUGUUUUAAACAUUUUAUAUAAACUGAAUCAUACAAUUUUGGAUCUUUUCUGGUAAACUUCUUGCAUGUAGCAUAAUAUUCCAAGGUCCAUCCACAUCGUAGUGUGUAUCAGUUCAUCCUUCCAUUUUAUGGCUGAAUAAUAGUUCAUAGUAUGGAUAUAUCGCAUUUUAUUUAUCCAUUCUUCAAUUGUUGGACAUUUGGAUUGUUUCCACUUUUUGGCUGUUCAUGAAUAAUGCUGCUGUCAACAAGUGUGUACACAUUUCUGUGUGGAUGUAUAGUUUCAUUUCUCGAGCCUAUACCUAGGAGUGGUUUACUGGGUCAUAUUAUAACUCUAUGUUUAACAUUUUGAGGAACUGCCAGACUAUUUUCCAAAGUGGUUGCACUGGUUUACAAUCCCACCGUUAAUCAAUGAGAGUUCCAGUUCCUCCCAGGAUAUCUUGUAAACCUAAAUCUUUGUGAUUUCCCAGAGAUUUGUUCUUCUACCUUAUGAUAAGAGGCACUAGCAGUAUGUAAUAUUGCUUGAUACGCGCCCACUGCAAAUUUCAUGGCAAGAGUUGCCAGCUGGCAGAAGUGCUCAGCCUCUCCUAUGCUAAAUUUCUAUAGGCAAAAUGUUAAUUAACAUAAAUGCUGUAGAAACUGUGUGCUUCUUGGGAAGUCCCUGGAGAUUUCUUCAGCUCUCACGGUCCAUGAUCUGUUUCAACCUCAAGGAAAACAUGGAUCAGAACUCAUGAAGUUGUUUUGUCCUUUUCCUCUAUUUAUCAGAGUCCUGCUGCUGCUUUGCCCAAGGCUCUUUGGCAACAACAGUAGCAUGUUAUCAGCCAUAAUUCGGUUAUUGUUUUAAAUGUUAACUGGACCCCAGCCUUCCUUACCUCGUUUGAAUCUAGUGUCUUCUGGGCUGGUGGUUUUCCACAACCUGCACAGCAGACUCACCUAUGAAGUUUAAUAGAAAUACAGAUGUCUCCACCCUGGGGAGACGACUGAAUUGCUUCUUUGAUAUUCCUGGUAUAUUCUUGGCAUUUGGUGUAUAUUUUGCCUCAGGCUUAGUAUGUGUUAUAUAUCACAACUUUUCCCUCAGUAAGAAUUAUUAGUCCAUAUUUAUAAAGCAGGUGUAUUAUUCACUGACUUCUUUGAAAAUUUAUGGUCUGUAAAGACAUUUGUCUAAUUUUGGUAACAUGGCUCUUUGGUCUUCUUUGGCCUGACACAGAAACAACCAAAUUCCUCAUCAGUUGCAUUAUUGUUAUUAUGAGCCCUCAUCAGGCCGCUCAGCUUUGAAGAUGUUGGGUAAAUUAAGCCCAUUGAAUCUGUCACCCAGAGAGAGUCUGUUUGGCUCACAGUUGCGCGAAGCUCCCGCACUUGGCUCCACCCCAGAAGCUGUCUUCAGCCAAGGACAGUUCCCGGAGGCCUGUGGGAAAGGACAGCCUGAGUCCUGGGACCCACGGAGCCUUUGAAGGGCAGACCCUGGGCACGGGCUUCCGAUGGGGUCACAGCCGGCUGUCGGCUCGGUCCAGGUGCUGGGUCCACGUGUCCAGGCUCCUCAUGGAGAAGACGGCCCUGGGACGGCCAGCCCCCGCUCCGGCAGACCAGGAACCAGCAACACAGGAAGGGGAUCCUGCUGUGGUCACGUGUCUGGAGCACUGUGGAGGUUCGGUGUCUCAAAUUCCUGGGCACAGGAGGAAGCUCUUUCUCUCCAGCUAUCUGUAACCCACGUCAGUUCGGGAGGCUCUGAUCUCGUAAACUGACAUGCAAUGAUUUUAAGUGACAUCUGAUUCUCCCUCACCCGCCUAUUCGCUUCCCAAGUGUACUGCUUUGAUUAGAGCUCCUCCCGAUUUCAGGGGACCCCAGAACGUGACUGGAAAUAGGAUCUUCACAGAUGCGGUUCAGAUGAGGCAGCAUUCAGUGGCCCUACAUCCAGUGACCGGGGUCCUCAGGAGCCGGCCGGGUGAGCGCACAGGACGCAUGGUGACAGAAGCAGGGGUGGGAGCACCGCCCUACAGGCCGAGGCCACCGCCGACUCCUUUCCCGGACCCUGCAGAGGGAAUGGCCUUGCCGUCACCUCGGUCACACUUCCAGACCCCUGGACUGCAAAAGAGGACAUUUCUGUUGAUUUUAGCCUCUGGGUUACUUUUCGUUGCAAUGUCGAUGUUUGCACCGGUUCACUAAGAAUCUAUCUUCCUUUUUACCAGGAUAUAAUUGGAAAAGUCGGUCAUGUGGCCAAGGCCUCAUCCAGAAUGUCCUGCUAGAGUGUGGCUCAGGAGUCAGGGCUGAGAAGUCGCUUUUAAGGUGCUUGGGUUGGUGUGCCCGUUUGAAUGUAUUAUGUCCCCCAGAAUGCCAUUAUCUUUGAUGUAAUCUUGUAUGAGCAGAGGUAUUAGUGUUGAUUAGACUGUAAUUCUUUUGAGUGUUUCC